Long non-coding RNA from Ruditapes philippinarum (Manila clam), 818 nucleotides. RefSeq lists it as uncharacterized. Lineage: Eukaryota; Metazoa; Mollusca; Bivalvia; Venerida; Veneridae. The transcript is spliced from 2 exons. The record is from RefSeq and is a predicted model, not a curated record.
CGAGAAAUGCUAUAUAAGUAGCCGUAAUUCUAUUGGUUAGCUGGAAUAGAAACAUUGAACAUCGAUGAUUCUCGGUCGUCUCACCAGAAUAAUUUUGUGACGAUUUUGUAGUAAACGGACAGAUUCUGAAAUCAUUGAAGUUGGAAGAAACACGAAUAAACAAGCAUGAGAACAGCAAGCCAAAAAUCUUCUUCAAAAAUAAUGACUGUUGUCCUGGUUUCCUUGAUGACGUUGCUAGGUUACGCAUCAACCUACAGAUUAGUAUCGAAAAGUGGAUCAGGAAUACCGUGUGCAAAAUGUGACACUGAAGCGAUUCACCCAUUUCAAAUGAAAAAACUAGCCCCUAUUUGUGGUGCAUGUGGCGAUGUUUUCGGGCAUGGAUACGAACAUUGUUGUUUGUGCCACGAAUACUUUUUGGAACAGUGUAUGGCCGCAUUUUAGCCCAUUACCCAGGCAACUGUUGAAUGGGAAAAAACGCAUCCAAAUAAAAUAUCUACGUCUAUAAAUUCAGAGUCUAACAUAUCAUUUAAAUGUGUUUUAAACAUUUAUUUGAAACUUCAAAUAGGGCAAAAAUGUUUUGAAAAAAAUAAGUUAAGAGUAAAAGGAAAAAUUCUGAUAAUCUGGAUAAUCAUUGACUUUUUCAUUCCUUCAAAAUACAAAAUAAGUAUAAGCAGAAACAAGUUUGAAUAACAUUGUGUGGUUUAAACCAAUUUCAGCUGUUCACCCUGAUUUUAUAUCAUUUAAAAUAAAUUGACAAUAUUUUAAAAUUGCAAGAGACAGUAAGAACUUACAUUAGUUAAAUAAAUAUUUGAACUUUC